RNAcentral lists this ribosomal RNA (500 nucleotides) under uncultured bacterium. RNAcentral's name for it is "partial 16S ribosomal RNA". It matches the Rfam family "Bacterial small subunit ribosomal RNA", at positions 30 to 523 of the family's 1533-position model. The record is from RNAcentral.
AUUGAACGCUGGCGGCAGGCUUAACACAUGCAAGUCGAGCGGGGAAAGGUAGCUUGCUACCUGACCUAGCGGCGGGCGGGUGAGUAAUGCUUAGGAAUCUGCCUAUUAGUGGGGGACAACAUUCCGAAAGGAAUGCUAAUACCGCAUACGCCCUACGGGGGAAAGCAGGGGAUCUUCGGACCUUGCGCUAAUAGAUGAGCCUAAGUCAGAUUAGCUAGUUGGUGGGGUAAAGGCCUACCAAGGCGACGAUCUGUAGCGGGUCUGAGAGGAUGAUCCGCCACACUGGGACUGAGACACGGCCCAGACUCCUACGGGAGGCAGCAGUGGGGAAUAUUGGACAAUGGGCGCAAGCCUGAUCCAGCCAUGCCGCGUGUGUGAAGAAGGCCUUCGGGUUGUAAAGCACUUUCAGUAGGGAGGAAGGGUGUUGUGUUAAUAGCACAGCAUUUUGACGUUACCUACAGAAGAAGCACCGGCUAACUCUGUGCCAGCCGCCGCGGUAA